GGCCCAGGCCCUGAGGGAGGCGGCGGCCGGGCCCAGGGGAGCUCUGGGGGGCGUUUUCGAAGCCUCCCGGCCCAGUGGGGCUCGCGGUUCGGUUUUGCUUGGCCAGCUUGGUUUUCGUGACCCAAGCAAAAGCUUUUCCCUUACCUGGAUCGGAGGCUCUGCAGCGGCAAUCCUCCAGGUGCCUUGCGGUGAAGCGAGGCGGGAGCAGCGGCACCGGCGGAGCGCGGCCGCCCCGGUCCGGCCCCAAGCCGGGGAGAGAAAACCCAACGAGAGCUUCCAGCCCGGCUCUCCGCCUGCCGUGGCUGCCGUGGAGAGGAGCUCGACGCCAGAGAACCACCAGGUCCUUGCUUCUUGCUGGAGCUGCUCCGUGGAAGCUGCGCUCCCCUCAGAGAGAAAGCCCGCGCCGUGUCGCGCCACGGGGCAGCGAGGGGGACUCCGUCAGCAUUUGCCCCGCUCCCCGGGACCUUUUGGGUCUGUGCUCCUCUGUGUGUGCGGGGCGAGGGGUAAAAAGAAUUUACAUCAAGAACUGAAUACAGGAUCUGGAGGAAAUGGUAGAGAUGGAGAAGGACCAGCUAUAAGUACCAGAAGGUGCACACCAAGACAGUGAAGAAAAGGCAGAUGUUGUUGUAGAGCCCGUCCAGCAAGUGACUCAGGGGCACCAGCAGAGCUGUGACAGUUCCAUAUCUCACCUGCUUUGGCAGUGGUUUCUGCAGAGAUCCAGGAAGCAUCUAGAAAAGCCUUUCUUUUAUGGAUUCUGGGAAGGCCUUUAAGAGGUGAUAAAUGUGGGCAGUGACCUUCAAACUAGAACUGGCUUGGGAUCUUAAACCUCAUCCAUUUUCAGCAGAGCAUACGCUUC
Long non-coding RNA from Corvus hawaiiensis (hawaiian crow), 856 nucleotides. RefSeq lists it as uncharacterized. The record is from RefSeq and is a predicted model, not a curated record. The transcript is spliced from 4 exons. NCBI's taxonomy places the organism in Eukaryota, Metazoa, Chordata, Aves, Passeriformes, Corvidae.